Molecule: long non-coding RNA, 344 nt
Organism: Micropterus dolomieu (smallmouth bass)
Lineage: Eukaryota; Metazoa; Chordata; Actinopteri; Centrarchiformes; Centrarchidae
Exons: 3
Source: RefSeq, a predicted model, not a curated record
UUGGAGAGAUUAAAUCUAAAUUAUGUGAAGGUCAAGUUGCCCCACAAGACAUGCAAAGUAUUUGUCACUCAUUAUAAAAGGAUAAGAAAUUCCAAUGAGACAGACAUUAUUCAUAGACUGCUCAAUUUGCUGCAUGCACUGUGUACUCGAGCCUGCAAACUGAUGUUAGCGCUGCACUUGGUGAAUGUCUGUUUGGUGGCCGUUCACCAAGCUUAGGUGCAGGAGAAGACGUGUGUUCAUAUUUAACCUCAAAUCCAGGAGACAUGGGAAAAGAAAAAAAAAGCUGAAGCUGGAAGAAACGUCUUUUGGGACAGAUGAACUGACGCAACAACCAAUGAGAAGCA